Molecule: ribosomal RNA, 767 nt
Filed under: Pseudomonas sp.
Lineage: Bacteria; Pseudomonadati; Pseudomonadota; Gammaproteobacteria; Pseudomonadales; Pseudomonadaceae
Description: bacterial SSU rRNA
Rfam family: Bacterial small subunit ribosomal RNA
Source: RNAcentral
GGGCGGCUAAUACCGCAUACGUCCUGAGGGGGAAAGUGGGGGAUCUUCGGACCUCACGCUAUCAGAUGAGCCUAGGUCGGAUUAGCUAGUUGGUGGGGUAAAGGCCUACCAAGGCGACGAUCCGUAACUGGUCUGAGAGGAUGAUCAGUCACACUGGAACUGAGACACGGUCCAGACUCCUACGGGAGGCAGCAGUGGGGAAUAUUGGACAAUGGGCGAAAGCCUGAUCCAGCCAUGCCGCGUGUGUGAAGAAGGUCUUCGGAUUGUAAAGCACUUUAAGUUGGGAGGAAGGGCAGUAAGUUAAUACCUUGCUGUUUUGACGUUACCAACAGUAUAAGCACCGGCUAACUUCGUGCCAGCAGCCGCGGGUAAUACGGAGGGUGCGAGCGUUACUCGGCAAUUACUGGGGCGUAAAAGCGCGCGUAGGUGGUUCAGCAAAGUUGGAUGUGAAAUCCCCGGGCUCAACCCUGGGAACUGCAUCCAAAACUACUGAGCUAGAGUACGGUUAGAGGGUGGUGGAAUUUCCUGUGUAGCGGUGAAAAUGCGUUAGAUAUAGGAAGGGAACACCAGUGGCGAAGGCGACCACCUGGGACUGAUACUGACACUGAAGGUGGCGAAAGCGUGGGGAAGCAAACAGGAUUAGAUACCCUGUUAGUCCACGGCCGUAAACGAUGUCCGACUAGCCGUUGGGAUCCUUGAGAAUCUUAGUUGGCCCAGCUAACGCGGAUAGGUCGACCGCCUGGGGGAGUAACGGCCGCGAAGGUUAA